GGCAAGAUGGCCGAGUUGGUUAUGGCGCCAGGUUAGGGUUAUCUUAACAUGCACCCUGGUUCGGGAAACUGAGCGUGGGUUCAAGUACCACUCUUGUCA
Molecule: transfer RNA, 99 nt
Filed under: Tuber melanosporum Mel28
Lineage: Eukaryota; Fungi; Ascomycota; Pezizomycetes; Pezizales; Tuberaceae
Description: tRNA-Pro for anticodon AGG
Rfam family: tRNA
About the family: Transfer RNA (tRNA) molecules are approximately 80 nucleotides in length. Their secondary structure includes four short double-helical elements and three loops (D, anti-codon, and T loops).
Source: RNAcentral